RNAcentral lists this ribosomal RNA (490 nucleotides) under uncultured Lactobacillus sp. Its description in RNAcentral is "bacterial SSU rRNA". It matches the Rfam family "Bacterial small subunit ribosomal RNA", at positions 57 to 507 of the family's 1533-position model. Lineage: Bacteria; Bacillati; Bacillota; Bacilli; Lactobacillales; Lactobacillaceae. The record is from RNAcentral.
GCAAGUCGAGCGAGCUUGCCUAGAUGAAUUUGGUGCUUGCACCAGAUGAAACUAGAUACAAGCGAGCGGCGGACGGGUGAGUAACACGUGGGUAACCUGCCCAAGAGACUGGGAUAACACCUGGAAACAGAUGCUAAUACCGGAUAACAACACUAGACGCAUGUCUAGAGUUUAAAAGAUGGUUCUGCUAUCACUCUUGGAUGGACCUGCGGUGCAUUAGCUAGUUGGUAAGGUAACGGCUUACCAAGGCAAUGAUGCAUAGCCGAGUUGAGAGACUGAUCGGCCACAUUGGGACUGAGACACGGCCCAAACUCCUACGGGAGGCAGCAGUAGGGAAUCUUCCACAAUGGACGCAAGUCUGAUGGAGCAACGCCGCGUGAGUGAAGAAGGGUUUCGGCUCGUAAAGCUCUGUUGGUAGUGAAGAAAGAUAGAGGUAGUAACUGGCCUUUAUUUGACGGUAAUUACUUAGAAAGUCACGGCUAACUACGUG